Molecule: unclassified non-coding RNA, 380 nt
Filed under: Hevea brasiliensis (rubber tree)
Lineage: Eukaryota; Viridiplantae; Streptophyta; Magnoliopsida; Malpighiales; Euphorbiaceae
Source: RNAcentral
AGGUAGUCAUGUCAUCAUUCUGUUUGUUAAGUACAAGGUUUCUGAAUUGCAGUGGGCCUGAAAGCCUAGUUGUUUGUGGAUACGUGGCAGUGUUUUAGAAUCAUAGUACUAAAGGUAGUUCUACAACAACAAUCUAUUUCUGCCUUUAAGACAACAGAACAUACUGUUACAUUGCCAUAUACUUAUUGGUGAUGACAUAUGAUAUUAUGAGCUGCAGUCAUUUCAUACGGUACUAGUAGUACCAUAGAUGGUGGGGCUGUGAUCUAUAAGUAGAAUGUUUAUGCUGCAACUUUUGUUUAUUAACUGCCUAUUAUUUCACUGGGAUUGUUUUAUGAUGUUUUUGAUUUAUCAUCUUAACAGGGGCAUUUGAUUUUAUUGCC